UACGUAGGGUGCAAGCGUUGUUCGGAAUUACUGGGCGUAAAGGGCGUGCAGGCGGAAUGGUAAGCUAGGGGUGAAAGCCCGGGGCUCAACCCCGGAAUUGCUCCUGGAACUGCUAUUCUAGAGAGGGUCAGAGGCUAGCAGAAUUCCUGGUGUAGAGGUGAAAUUCGUAGAUAUCAGGAGGAAUACCAGUGGCGAAAGCGGCUGGCUGGGGCCACUCUGACGCUGAGGCGCGAAAGCGUGGGGAGCAAACAGG
This 253-nucleotide unclassified non-coding RNA is filed under the name uncultured delta proteobacterium. Its description in RNAcentral is "contains 16S-23S intergenic spacer region". It matches the Rfam family "Bacterial small subunit ribosomal RNA", at positions 524 to 776 of the family's 1533-position model. Lineage: Bacteria; Deltaproteobacteria. The record is from RNAcentral.